This 465-nucleotide ribosomal RNA is filed under the name uncultured bacterium. RNAcentral's name for it is "partial 16S ribosomal RNA". It matches the Rfam family "Bacterial small subunit ribosomal RNA", at positions 29 to 507 of the family's 1533-position model. The record is from RNAcentral.
AUGAACGCUGGCGGCGUGCUUAACACAUGCCAGUCGCACGGAAAGGCUCCUGCUUGCAGGGGCGCUCGAGUGGCGAACGGGUGAGUAACACGUUGGUGAUCUGCUCUGCACUUCGGGAUGAGCCUGGGACACUGGGUCUAAUACCGGCUAGGACCAUCGUUUAUUGUCGGUGGUGGGAAGUGUUUUCGGUGUUGGAUGAGCUCGCGGCCUAUCAGCUUGUUGGUUGGGUAAUGGCCUACCAAGGCGUCGACGGGUAGCCGGCCUGAGAGGGUGUACUGCCACGUUAGGACUGAGAUACGGCCCAGACCACUACCGGAGGGAACAGUGCAGUGUAGUGCACUAGGGGAGGAAGGAAGAUGUAGUGAAGCCGCGUGGGGGAUGACGGCCAGCGGGUUGGAUACUACUUUCGCCAGGGACGAAGCGAAAGUGACGGUACCUGGAGAAGAAGCUCCGGCUAACUACGUG